Molecule: ribosomal RNA, 495 nt
Filed under: uncultured bacterium
Lineage: Bacteria
Description: bacterial SSU rRNA
Rfam family: Bacterial small subunit ribosomal RNA
Source: RNAcentral
GAUGAACGCUAGCGGCAGGCUUAAUACAUGCAAGUUGAGGGGCAGCAUGAUAUACGCGAGUAUAUUGAUGGCGACCGGCGGACGGGUGAGUAAUAGGUAGGAGACCUACCUCAUACAGGGGGAUAGCAUAGAGAAAUCUGUGGUAAUACCCCAUGAGGUUAUAUGAAUAGAGGCAUAUAAUCAAAGCAUAAGCGAUUAUGCGGUAUGAGAGGGGCCUACUGACCAUUAGCUAGUUGGUGAGGUAAGGGCUCACCAAGGCGAAGAUGGUUAGGGGUUUUGAGAGAGAGACCCCCCACAUUGGAACUGAGAGACGGUCCAGACUCCUACGGGAGGCAGCAGUAGGGAAUAUUGGGCAAUGGGCGAAAGCCUGACCCAGCCAUGCCGCGUGAAGGAAGACGGCCUUAUGGGUUGUAAACUUCUUUACUACGCGAAUAGAGGUUGGUACGAGAUACUAAUAGGAAGGUAGUGUAGUAAAAAGCACCGGCUAACUCCGUG